This is an RNA transcript of Schistocerca piceifrons (Central American locust), 2710 nucleotides long. It is a transcript of the gene named ATP-dependent RNA helicase DBP2-like, with no coding region annotated. NCBI's taxonomy places the organism in Eukaryota, Metazoa, Arthropoda, Insecta, Orthoptera, Acrididae. The transcript has 12 exons. The record is from RefSeq and is a predicted model, not a curated record.
UUCUGCCAUCUGGCGGUUGCAAUGACGCCGACGGCAAUUUGCAAUCAAUGCGCAAUAUAUCUGUCCUUUCGCCAUCUUGUCGUUAGAGGGUUUUAAUUGGUAUUCAGUUCCAAUCGUCAGCCAAACCUCUUCUAACAUGUCAGUGCGUGGAAGUAAUUUCAGUGGCAACAGAGGUGGAUUUGGAAACAACAAGGGUGUGGGAGGAUUUGGUACUGACAGAAAACCAAAUGGCUUUGGAGGAGAAAGGAAGCAGGGUGGAUUUGGUGGAGAUAGGAAUGGGAGAGCAUCUGGUGGUGGCAGACCAAAUUUUGGAGACCGAAGACCCAGCAGAUUUGAUUCACCCCAGAAUCAGGGUGUAGGAAGUGAAUUAGGAAGUAGUCUAAGGAAGCCACAAUGGGAGAACACUUUGCUAACACCAUUUUCUAAAGACUUCUAUACACCACAUGAUAAAAUUAAUGACAGGCCCAUUUAUGAAGUGGAAGCCUAUCGUUCAGAACAGCAGAUAACUGUUAGAGGACAAGAAACUCCAAGGCCGAUACAAAGUUUUGAAGAAGGAAAUUUUCCUGAGUACAUAGUGGAUGAGAUUAGGAGAUCUGGCUUUGCAGCACCUACAUCAAUUCAGGCCCAAGGCUGGCCCAUUGCAAUGAGUGGUAGAGACAUGGUUGGCAUUGCACAGACUGGCUCUGGAAAAACUUUGGCAUAUAUUUUGCCAGCAACUGUGCACAUCAAAAACCAGCCAAGAUUGAGUAGGGGUGAUGGCCCUAUUGUGCUUGUAUUAGCACCCACUCGGGAAUUGGCACAACAGAUUCAGACAGUGGCCAGAGAUUUUGGUUCAUCAUCGUACAUUCGUAAUACCUGUAUAUUUGGCGGUGCACCGAAAGGCCCUCAGGCCCGGGAUUUGGAGCGUGGUGUUGAAAUAGUCAUUGCAACUCCUGGUCGUUUGUUGGACUUCCUAGAACGUGGAACUACUAAUUUACGAAGAUGCACUUACUUGGUUUUGGAUGAGGCAGACCGUAUGCUGGACAUGGGAUUUGAACCACAGAUUAGAAAGAUUAUAAGCCAAAUUCGUCCUGAUCGACAAACACUUAUGUGGUCUGCUACAUGGCCGAAGGAAGUCAGAAAUUUGGCAGAAGAAUUCCUCACAAACUACAUUCAGGUCAACAUUGGUUCUCUGCAGCUGUCAGCAAACCAUAACAUAAUGCAAAUUGUUGAUGUGUGCCAAGAGCAUGAAAAGGAACAAAAAUUGAAUGUUCUAUUACAAGAAAUAGGUUCAGAAAGAGACUCUAAGACAAUUAUCUUUGUUGAAACUAAGAGGAAGGUGGAAGAUAUCACAAGGAAUCUGAAUAAUUAUGGGUUCCGUGCCAUAUGUAUGCAUGGAAACAAGUCUCAGCAAGAAAGAGAUUAUGUGUUGAGAGAGUUCAGAAGUGGGAAGUGCUCCAUUUUGGUCGCCACAGAUGUUGCAGCAAGAGGUUUAGGUCAGUCAUACUUUCCUACGUAAAAUGGUAAUGUAAACAGUCUGAGAUGGACGGGCAGACUGAUUUUGGGAUAAUAUUGUGAUAGUAGCUCAUAUAGCCAGACUGGUUGAUCUUGUUGUUUGCUGAAUCUGUUUUUUGCAUUCGUUGAGCUGUAAUGGUUCGGUAUAAUUUUUUGCAUAUAUAUACAAUUUCCUUUAAUUGCAUUUCUUUCUGGUCACCAAUUUUUGCACAAAAUAACACCUUCUUAAGGGACAUCCCAUUUGUUUGUUCUCACAUUGUUUUAUUUGUUUUCAUUUAUAUUUUUUCUGCCUAUGAGGACUAAGUUCUUUGAAAAUCCAUUUAUACCAGAAGGCUUUCAUUUGUUUUUGUGAUUUGUGCAUUUGAAAUACAUGGAGUAAUAACUCACUUAGAAGCUUCAUGUAUCACAGAAAUGAGAUGUCACAAUUAUAUUUUUAAUUUGAAUGUGUGUAUAUAUGCAUGCUGUUAUGCAGUUCAGAAGUUACGGUGAAAUGACAAGUGUUUGGUAAUGUCUGUAUGUUCAGCUGAUAGCUUAUUAGCUACAGCUUUCCAUUCAGACAUUAGUGAAAUUCUUGUUUUAAACAGUAGUAUCAAUGAGAUUAUUUUUGAAGCAUCAUGUUUGUUUCUGAUGUUAAUCAGUCUGGUCUUUUGUUUCAGAGGCACAUGCGAGAUAGUGAAAGUUGUGUAAAUGAAAUCUGGCAGUGCCUCUGCUUGGGAAGCAGUAUUUUUAGAGAGCAGUCUACAACUUAUGUGGAUUUUUUUGUAACAUUGAUGAAUGAUGCUACUAUCGCAGUUCAGAGUUAGAUUCUCUGCUUGAUGCCAUACAUAUCCCAAAAAACUACAUACUCCAGUGCCAGUUAUCCUUAGUCUAUGAAGUUACCUCCAUAGUUUGUUCUCCACAUACCACUCCCAAAUUCCUGUAACUGUCAGUACCAAAUUAAUUUAUCCUAAACUGAUUUGAGGCACUGGAGUCCCUGCUGUGAUGUCCAUUUCAGUGCAUAGCCAGUUAUAUUUCAAGAUGAAACUAUGUUUGUUGCAAUUAUUCCGAGUGCUGGAUUUCAGGUUUGUAAAAGACAUGUUGAAGGAAUAAGGUUUGUGAUAAACUAUGAUUAUCCUAAUUCAUCUGAGGAUUAUAUCCAUCGUAUUGGACGUACGGGACGUAGCCAAGAAACUGGAACAUCUUACGCAUUUUUCACACAAAACAACAGCCGUCAGGC